Molecule: long non-coding RNA, 1010 nt
Organism: Pygocentrus nattereri (red-bellied piranha)
Lineage: Eukaryota; Metazoa; Chordata; Actinopteri; Characiformes; Serrasalmidae
Source: Ensembl
GAAAUAUUAGAAUGGAUUAUAAUUAAACUUCAGUAAAAACACUAAUUUAGGGCUGGAAUACAGUUCACAGGUUCACAACUGUGGUGAAAUGUCAGAUUUGGUGGUGAAGUGAAUCACUUUCUAAAGAAUCAAACUGAGUGAUAUUUCGAUUCUAUGGCUCACUGAAUCAUUUCUUUAAAGAUGUGACUGAAUGGUGAUGAAGUGUGAGCUUCUAUGCUGCACUGAAUCAUAUCUUAACGAAUCAAACUAAACAGGUGGUCAAACGGUACAGAAUCAAACUAAAUUAAAGGACCUAACUAAGAAUGUGAGGAAUAGAGAGUUAGGAAUGAAGGGAAUUGAGCUGUUUGGUGGUGAAACGUGAGAUUGGAUGGGGCACUGAAUCGUUUCCUAAAGAAUCGUGAGGUCAGAGAUUUACACUCCAUAAUAAUCAGCAUCAGUAGCUGCUCUGUAAACUGAAGCUUCUCUCGGAGGGAUUGGACAAUCGCCGGGGGAAACCUGUUCAGGAUUAACGGCCAGAGGAAACGCGGGGGGGGAUGCAUUUUUACCCACAGCCUCAUCCAACACACACACACACAGAGUGUCAGAGCCAGCAGGCAGUGGGCUCUACACUCAGCAACUUCCUAAAGGGAAACUUUUACAACUUACACCUUUAAAAAAUACAGGAGCUGCUGCUUUAACUCUGUCUGGGGAGCUUUUUAGCCAACGCUGGGUUUCAGGAGCCACUUUUACUUCUACGUGGACCAUCAUGUCAUCACCCUGCCGGAGGAUGGCUUUACUCGGCUCGACUCUACCCACUUCUGCUGGUUUCAGUGGGUUGGCCAACAGCGUGCAGGGCGAAAGCUGCAGGAGGAAAUGCUCUCGAAGUGUCUGGGGUGGCGUGAUGAAUAGAGGAAGUGUGAGGAGUCACGCUAGAUCGAGCUAGAGGCGAAGGAAGAACCUUCAGACCAUGAUGCCCACAAUGCACCCCAUCCACCAGACCAUGUUCUCUGGACCCUGAAGGAUGUGACCGG